CUGAGGAGUGGUUCUGUGGGGACUGUGAUGUAUUGCAUCACAAAAAACAGCCACUCCACAACAGGGAAUGUGUGAAUAAUGUUUUUUUUUAAGCCAUUCCUCCAACCUCAUGUGUCAUUAAAGGGCAAGAUGGAUAUUGCAAAGGUAUGCUAGGUAUGCUCUCACAAAAGCCCUCAUUUUGCUGUUCAUGUGUGUCUGCAGCCAGUUACAGAUUAGUGCUUUUAGUGCUUUUCUUUCUUUUUGCCAGCUUGCAUUUUGCCAACAGUGAAGGCGCCAGACUGCUCCUGUGAAGGCACAAACUUCACCAUAUUACCGGGCAAACCAGUGAUUUUAAUUACCAUCAAUGGGCGUUUUGACUUGCAUCAGCCACUAUAUGUAUGUCAAAUGUGCCAGCAUCAGUGGAUCCCUGACUUGAAGGACCUCCUUAGGAGUGGAUAUUGGCCUGCCUCUGUCACCAGUUCCACACUUUAUACAUUGGACCUCCUGAGCUCCUUUCAGGAACUCAAGGUCAUCUCUCCGGGAUUCUCCAGACAAG
RNAcentral lists this long non-coding RNA (535 nucleotides) under Sinocyclocheilus anshuiensis. RNAcentral's name for it is "lncRNA (ENSSANG00000016866.1)". Lineage: Eukaryota; Metazoa; Chordata; Actinopteri; Cypriniformes; Cyprinidae. The record is from RNAcentral.